UGGCUCAGAGGUUAAGAGCACUGACUGCUACUCCAGAGGUCCUGAGUUCAAUUCUCAG
This 58-nucleotide transfer RNA is filed under the name Neotoma lepida (desert woodrat). It matches the Rfam family "tRNA", at positions 8 to 63 of the family's 71-position model. Rfam says of the family: Transfer RNA (tRNA) molecules are approximately 80 nucleotides in length. Their secondary structure includes four short double-helical elements and three loops (D, anti-codon, and T loops). The record is from Rfam by way of RNAcentral. Lineage: Eukaryota; Metazoa; Chordata; Mammalia; Rodentia; Cricetidae.